Molecule: ribosomal RNA, 563 nt
Filed under: uncultured archaeon
Lineage: Archaea
Description: bacterial SSU rRNA
Rfam family: Archaeal small subunit ribosomal RNA
Source: RNAcentral
CGGGGUGCAGCAGGCGCGAAAACUUUACAAUGCGGGAAACCGUGAUAAGGGAACUCCGAGUGCCCGUAAAAUCGGGCUGUCCAUCUGUUUAAAUAACAGGUGAAGAAAGGGCCGGGCAAGACCGGUGCCAGCCGCCGCGGUAAUACCGGCGGCUCGAGUGGUGGCCACUAUUACUGGGCUUAAAGCGUUCGUAGCUGGUCUGUUAAGUCUCUGGGGAAAUCUACUGGCUUAACCAAUAGGCGUUUCAGGGAUACUGGCAGACUAGGGACCGGGAGAGGUGAGGGGUACUCCAGGGGUAGGAGUGAAAUCCUGUAAUCCUUGGGGGACCACCUGUGGCGAAGGCGCCUCACCAGAACGGCUCCGACAGUGAGGGACGAAAGCUGGGGGAGCAAACCGGAUUAGAUACCCGGGUAGUCCCAGCCGUAAACGAUGCGCGUUAGGUGUAUCGGUGACCACGAGUCACCGAGGUGCCGAAGAGAAAUCGUGAAACGUGCCGCCUGGGAAGUACGGUCGCAAGGCUGAAACUUAAAGGAAUUGGCGGGGGAGCACAAGGGCGAAUCGCG